Cynara cardunculus var. scolymus (artichoke) is the source of this 685-nucleotide long non-coding RNA. RefSeq lists it as uncharacterized. The record is from RefSeq and is a predicted model, not a curated record. The transcript is spliced from 5 exons. Lineage: Eukaryota; Viridiplantae; Streptophyta; Magnoliopsida; Asterales; Asteraceae.
CUAGGAUGGCUUCUGCUGAUAUUAUGUGUGUUGGUUCGAAAGUUGUGCGAGAAAAGUUCUCUGGCAUCAUCAGGAAYGCUCUGAGGAAUGCAAGGAAGCUAUUCCAUCUUUGAUUUUUGCUGCUGCAAGAUUUGCUGAUUUGCCUGAAUUGAGGGAAGUCAGAAGUUUAUUUACURAGAGAUGUGGGAAUUAUCUUGAACCUUAUGUCAACCAAGAGUUUGUCAAAAAGUUGAAAYCAGACCCUCCCACUAAGGAAAUGAAGCUUCAAAUGAUGCAAGAGGUUGCACUUGAAUCUGAUAUACAGUGGGAUUCCAAGGCUUUGGAUCAGUCAUUGUAUAAACCACCUCCAUUUGUACAAAUUGACCGAGAACUGAAAAGGGAGAGGAGAAAGACAGUUUGAUCGAGAAUCUGCCAUAAGGUCGAGAUUAAGGAAACAAGAAAAACAAAGUAUAUCUCUGAACCUGGUGGUCAAUUUGAACUUAGUGGUGCUCCUGUUGAAACUCUCCAUCAAACUUGUGUAGAAGUUAAUUCACACCUUUACCAGGUUUGUAGCUUGAUGUUACAUGAACUUGUGCAGGCAACUCUUGCUUAUCGAAAUUUGAAACUUGGAAUGUCUCUCCACAUACAAGUUUAAUUGCAUUCAUGGUCCUGGAUUAGAACAUGCAAACUUGCCUAUUUAGGUAGA